AUGCUGCUGCAGACGGGUUGUGCGCACUUGGAGACGCAUCGAACACAGUGGCACUGCAAGAGGAAAGGGAGAAAAAAAAAAAACAUCUUAGCAGACAAACAAGGCUGUGGGCAGAAUGCAUUUAUUCUUUUGUGGCAGGUAAUCUUGAGAUACCAACCAUCUCCGCUACAAAUCGAUUGGAUGAAAAAUGUAUCAGAGUCGUGGGUUAUCAGCCAGGGAAUCCAAUCACAAUGCAAAUAAAGGUAAGUUGAGCAGGAUGAUGCAAGUCAUGUCUCAUGUUUUAUUCCUUCCUCUUGGUCCCUUAGGUGGAAAAAAAAAUGGGGGGGAAAAACAGACAUAUCCAAUUAUUAGCACAAACGGCAUUGAUUGUGUCCUUCCCUGGCAGAGUUUUUAAGAAAAACCACUGGGAAAAGGAAGACAGCGUCUACUUCAAACAUAAUGCCUGUAGGAACGAUUUCUGUUUAACGACACAUUAUAAUAGCAAGGGCUUUGUCAUUUAAUCAAACAGUCAUUCGCUCCAAUAUUUUCUCUAAUGCUUCACUGAACUUGCAUUUUAAUUAUUUUUCAGAAAGUGACAAAUUGCACACAUGUUAUGAACAGUACAACCUAACUCACUGUGUUUGUCACACAUGAUAUACAAAGAACAUAAAUGUGUUUUUAAUGAGGUUCCUGUCAUCCUGUAAGGGCUACUCAUAAAUGAUUAAGAAAUCUGAUGGAUGUGAGAACCUGUGGUUAGAUUGUGACUGCAUGCUACAGAUGUGUGCAUCUGUGUGAGUAAAGGUGGAGCCAGAUGAGAGGAGUAGAGUACAGAAAGGAUUGCAGGGAGAUAAAACGCACCUGACUGGAAUUGUGCUUCAGGGUUCAAAUCUCAGCUCUGUUAUUGCUGUAUGGCAUAAAAUGGCUUAAGGUGGUCGAGUACAAACCGCCCCCUUCUGUUAAAUACUUCUGAUAGGGCCGAUCCAAAUGAUGGAUUUCUCCAGUAGACACAACAUAGUGCAAACAGAUUAUAGAGGUUAACACUUGAAAUAUGGUGCUGACAGAGUUAUGGUUGCUUCAGCAUUUAUAGUCAUAGGUUCUCUUUUAGCAGUAUGAGUUAUGCAACAAAGACAACCGGCUUAGGUUGACUAUAAAUAGCCCUUUGUUUAAAAGUCAAUCAUUCUUCACUUAUAAAUGAACACGCCUGUCAUUGUUGUCAUUUGUCGAUUACUGUGAUCAUGUAUUUAAUGUGCAGGACAGAUUUAUAGCUCUGCUUAUAGAUAUACAGCUGUCUUCUGCAGAGAGCUUGGCAGUCCCUCAUUCUUUCUUUUAUAUUUGUGGAGGCUUUGCUGGAAAUGCAACAGUACACUAAAACAGGACUAAAUACAGAAAGAAAAUUUGGCUGACUGGAAACAUCGGUGUAAUUCACGAUUUAUUUAUUUUUAAUUGAGAACAAGGGAAAAUACAGCACCAUUAACCUUUUUGGUGGUGUAGUACAUUAUUUAUGUAACCUUUAAAUCAUUCAUGUUGGCAGCACAGGGUCUACAUUUCACACAUGUUUAUGGGAUUGUGUUUGAGGUUAAGUGCUUUGCUUGACAGCUCCAGUAAUAACUGGUGAUGGAGGGGAGGGGGCUGUAAGCCAACAAGAGCAUGCACUAUUUCUGGUAAGAUGGAAGGAAAUGCAGAAAAAACUUGUCAAUCAAGGUUAAGGUAUCAGCAAAAGCAACACUUUUGUAUCACUAUCUCCUUUGGUACACCGUAGCUUAUUUUCACAUCACCUAACAUUUAAGAGUAGGUGCACUUCAAAUUAUGGAAAAUAUUUUAAAUAAAACAUUCAUUAAGAGAUUCAUUAACACGUUUAGGAAGUCAGUGUUGAGCAGUAACUAUUAAGAAUAUUACUCCUUUCCUUAAGUCCACCUCAGCUAAAACAAACUGUGUGCUUCUCUCCAAAUUUUAUGAGGCAAAAUACUCAUCUAACAGUCUUCCUCACAUUUCAUCUUGCCUUGUGGGUAGUUGCUCUUGCCGUGUAAUUGCUUAGGAUGGGUACAAACGGCUGCAAAAUGUUCAAAAUAUGUAAUCUAGCACCUUGGGAGGAGAGAGCUUUCUAAAGCCUCUCAAAGGACACCAUCACCAUGGAAAUGACCAGUCUCUGAAAAUAACAGAAAUUAUCAUUGCACAGCAAUUACGGAUGUAGAAACAUGCACUACAAAAUUUAUUUGCCAUUGUGGGGUUUUUUUCUUCUUGGGAAAGCUGUGCUUGUAUAAAUGGCAGGUCAAAAGAAGAUAACAUUCAUUUGAAUUGUGGAUGUAUGUUGUUAAAAUGUAAAUCACAAAGUACCUACGACAAUAAAACAAAAUGAAAGGAU
RNAcentral lists this long non-coding RNA (2341 nucleotides) under Oreochromis niloticus (Nile tilapia). RNAcentral's name for it is "lncRNA (ENSONIG00000042663.1)". Lineage: Eukaryota; Metazoa; Chordata; Actinopteri; Cichliformes; Cichlidae. The record is from RNAcentral.